GCUUUCUUGCAGCUCAGUUGGUAGAUCAUUGCGUUAACAACGUGAAAGACUGUGGGUUCAAUCCCAGGGAAAGCA
Molecule: non-coding RNA, 75 nt
Organism: Danionella cerebrum
Lineage: Eukaryota; Metazoa; Chordata; Actinopteri; Cypriniformes; Danionidae
Source: the annotation of a GenBank genome assembly